This 70-nucleotide transfer RNA is filed under the name Marmota monax (woodchuck). Its description in RNAcentral is "tRNA.Ala". It matches the Rfam family "tRNA". From Rfam's summary of the family: Transfer RNA (tRNA) molecules are approximately 80 nucleotides in length. Their secondary structure includes four short double-helical elements and three loops (D, anti-codon, and T loops). The record is from RNAcentral. Lineage: Eukaryota; Metazoa; Chordata; Mammalia; Rodentia; Sciuridae.
GGGAUGUAGCUCAGUUGGUAGAGUGCUUGCCUCGCAAGCACAAGGCCCUGGGUUCAAUCCCCAGCACCCA